GACGAACGCUGGCGGCGUGCUUAACACAUGCAAGUCGAACGGGCCCGCCCCUGUUUUUGGGGGUGGGUUGAGUGGCGAACGGGUGAGUAUCACGUGAGUAACCUGCCCCCUGCUCCUGGAUAACUGCUUGAAAGGGCGGCUAAUACGGGGUGUGCCGGCUGGUCCGCAUGGGCCUGGUCGGGAUAGUUUCAUCUUCGGGUGUUUCGGUGGGGGAUGGGCUCGCGGCCUAUCAGCUUGUUGGUGGGGUGAUGGCCCACCAAGGCGGUGACGGGUAGCCGGCCUGAGAGGGUGGGCGGCCACACGGGGACUGAGACACGGCCCAGACUCCGGCGGGAGGCAGCAGUGGGGGGUAUGGCACAAUGGGCGGAAGCCUGAUGCAGCGACGUCGCGUGAGGGAUGGAGGCCUUCGGGUGGUGAACCUCUUUCUCCGGUGGUGAAGGCCCUGUCCGUUGCGGCGGGGUUGACGGUAGCCGGGUAUGAAGCGCCGGCUAACUACGUG
RNAcentral lists this ribosomal RNA (499 nucleotides) under uncultured bacterium. RNAcentral describes it as "partial 16S ribosomal RNA". It matches the Rfam family "Bacterial small subunit ribosomal RNA", at positions 28 to 507 of the family's 1533-position model. The record is from RNAcentral.